UGUUACUGAAAAAAACAGGUAGUUGCUCCA
Molecule: non-coding RNA, 30 nt
Filed under: Rattus norvegicus (Norway rat)
Lineage: Eukaryota; Metazoa; Chordata; Mammalia; Rodentia; Muridae
Source: RNAcentral